This 352-nucleotide unclassified non-coding RNA is filed under the name Klebsiella oxytoca. RNAcentral's name for it is "partial 16S-23S ribosomal RNA intergenic spacer". The stretch from base 240 to 345 matches the Rfam family "Salmonella enterica Typhi npcRNA 44". The record is from RNAcentral. Lineage: Bacteria; Pseudomonadati; Pseudomonadota; Gammaproteobacteria; Enterobacterales; Enterobacteriaceae.
CCUUAAAGAACCUGCCUUUGUAGUGCUCACACAGAUUGUCUGAUAGAUGUAAAGAAGCAAGACGGCUGCGAAGUCGCGACACCUCGUGUCCCCUUCGUCUAGCGGUUAGGACUCCGCCCUUUCACGGCGGCAACAGGGGUUCGAAUCCCCUAGGGGACGCCACUUGCUGGCUGUGAGUGAAAGGCACAACCAACCGAUAUCUCAAAACUCAUCUUCGGGUGACGUUUGAGAUAUUUGCUCUUUAAAAAUCUGGAUCAAGCUGAAAAUUGAAACGACACACAGUUAAUGUGUGUUCGAGUCUCUCAAAUUUUCGCGACACGAUGAUGUUUUACGAAACAUCUUCGGGUUGUGA